AACUUUCAACAACGGAUCUCUAGGUUCUCGCAUCGAUGAAGAACGCAGCGAAAUGCGAUAAGUAGUGUGAAUUGCAGAUUUCAGUGAAUCAUCGAAUCUUUGAACGCACAUUGCGCCGUGAGGGAGACCUCCGGCAUGCCUGUUUGAGAGUCA
Molecule: ribosomal RNA, 153 nt
Filed under: Pezizomycetes sp. TKPB-2018
Lineage: Eukaryota; Fungi; Ascomycota; Pezizomycetes
Description: 5.8S ribosomal RNA
Rfam family: 5.8S ribosomal RNA
About the family: 5.8S ribosomal RNA (5.8S rRNA) is a component of the large subunit of the eukaryotic ribosome.
Source: RNAcentral